GCUGAUUGGACCUGUGAUGGGUGUUUGUUAGCUAUCUAGAAGUUGUCCAGGGCUCCCUGAGGGAGGCCAGCACAAGAGCUCUGCCAUAAAAGGACAUUGGACAGAAGUGAAGAGUCCAAUCAGAAACUCUUUUUGAGAGACUGAACGCAAAGCAUUCAGAGAGUCAGCAGGCUGGAGAGGCCAAGACACACACACGAAGAAGGCAGUGCCCUGUCAUCUCCUCAAAUGUUGCUCUUAUUCACUGAAGCAAGCUGACUCCCCAAUACCAUGUACAUACUGAACCCAGAAGAGGGGAGAAAAGAAGGAAGGAUUGUGCAUAGGAGUUCCUUUUGAAGAAGUGACAUGGAGGAACAGAGCCUCCUGUUUUCACCAAACCUAACAAUGAUCAGCCACACUGACUCUGAUUGAGUUAAGUAGAAAAGAAGUUUAUUAAAAGAUGACCAAGGAGCUCACAGAAACACCAGGAAAUUUUGAGAAGGUUCAGAAAACAGGUAGAAGAAGAGAGACUCUAGGUAUCUAGAACCCAAGUACAAAUCAUGCCACAAGAACAUGAGCAAUGGGCACUGCUGCUAAUAGCACUAGACACUGGACAUCAGAGCUUGCACUUGCCACCAGCAGAGGAAACCAGUGAAUGUUACUUUAUAGGGCAAAGGGGACUUUGCACAUGUAAUCUUGGAAGAGUAUCCCGGAUUACUUAGGGCUCAGUGUAACCACAAGGGUCCUUAUAAGAGGGAUGCAGGCGAUCAGAGGGAGAAGUAGGAGAGGUGAUGACCGAAGCAGAGAUUGAAGUGAUGCAGCCACAGGCCAAGGAAUUCUGGCAGUCACUAGAAGCUGAAAAGGGCAGGCCCCAGCUCUCCUGAAGCUCUCAGAGGAAGCAAUCCUGUCAGUUCCUUGAUUUUAGCACUAAUGUCAGACUUCUGACCUCCAGAAUUCUUCAAAGGGUCAGGUAACCUGUUACAGCAGCAAUAGAAAAAUGAACACAGCAGCUUUUGCCUGGAGACUCUCCAUUGGCCAAGCCAAGAUUGUCUCAGAAUUCUGCUGCACUCUGAGGCUCUUCCCACCAUUCUUUGUUUCUCAUUAUCCUUUUACAGUUGUUAGACCUGUCUCCCAAUCUAAUGGCUCUCUCCAACUCCCACUCCCUUUCUCUUUAUCCUCCAGAGCCAUUUUCCCUAAUGAAUUUCUUUCCCUAAUAAAUCUCGAAUCCCAUCUUGGCAUCUGCUUCUUGGAUGUUCUCAACUAAAUAAUGCUACCAAUCCUACUCUCUCUUGUGCCCCAGGAAACUGGAGGCUUUAGCUGCCUUCUACCCCACCACCCCACUCCUCAGAAUAGACUCUCUACCACUCCUCUUCAUCGGUUCACUAGCUUCCAAUGCAAAGUCCUGGGGUGGUGCCUGACUGGCCAAGCCUAGGUCACAUGCCCCCUCUCCAGGGCAGGAGGCUGGAAAAACAAGUCUCUGGCCUAUUUGACCUCCAUAGUGGAGGUCUCUAACCCUCAUGGAGACUCAUACAGUGAGGACAUCCCUAAACAUAAAAAGUGGGUUCAUGUGCUACCAGGUACCCCCAAUGUCUAUGACAAUAUCCCUCCCUCAAAUAUUGUGAAUCCCAUCCUGUGUGAACAAGAAACAUGUAGUCUUCUUUUGCAAGAACUUCUGAAGAUUUGUCAGGGAAUGCUUACACCAGCUCCGUGCUUCCUCUUGUCAUCUCCCAACCUUAUCUCUCUGUUAAUCGGUUGCCCCCUGUGGACACCAGCUCCUCUCUUUAUUCCAACAUGGCUGACACCAGCCAUAGAGAGUGACAAAACUUUACUGAGGGUUUGAGAAUAACAUGAGGAGUCAUACCACAUGCCUUAGUCCAUUUUGCGUUGUUAUCAAGAAAUGCCUGAGGCUGGGUAACUUACAGAGAAAAAAGAUUUAUUUGGCUUACUAUUCUGAUGGGCUGGAAGGUUCAGGAUUAGGCAUCUGCCAUUAGGACCUUGGGCUGCUUCCACUCACGACACGAGAGGAAGGAAGCUAGUGUAUGCAGAGAUCAUAUGGAAAGGAAGCAAAAGAGAGGUGAGGGUGCCGGGCUCUUUGUAACAACCAGCUGGAUCGGGAACUAAUGAGAUGAGAACUCACUCACCCCUGAGGGAGAGUAUUAAUCAGUUCAUAUGGGAUCUUCCUCCAUGACCCAAACCCCUCUCAUAAAGUCCCACCUCCAACACUGGGAUCAAAUUUCAACAUGAAGUUUUUUGGGGUACAAACAUCCAAACCACAGCACCACCAAAAGGGAGAUAGAAAAUUCUGUAUCACUGCUCCUAAAGCAGAUUGGUCAUAACCCCAUCGAAGGAAUCCCUUGGAAUUAAACUCUGCUCUUAAGCUCCUGCCUGCCACUGUGGUGCUAAAGUCCAUUUCUCCUCCUCUCCAUGAGCCCCCUGUUUUAUCACCACUCUGCCCAUCUCCACUCUUCCCUGGCCUGCUUCUUUCCUGAGGAAGCCAUAAAAUAUAUUAGAGAAAAAAAAAAUCUCUGAUGAGCAGCUUAGCUUUGCUCCAUCUUAAUCUGUUUCUUCCAGAAUAGAAGCAUGGCCCUAUCUUUGUUUAACUAAAGAGCUUA
Molecule: long non-coding RNA, 2588 nt
Filed under: Homo sapiens (human)
Lineage: Eukaryota; Metazoa; Chordata; Mammalia; Primates; Hominidae
Description: HSALNT0322752
Source: RNAcentral